Molecule: ribosomal RNA, 482 nt
Filed under: uncultured bacterium
Lineage: Bacteria
Description: partial 16S ribosomal RNA
Rfam family: Bacterial small subunit ribosomal RNA
Source: RNAcentral
AUUGAACGCUGGCGGCAUGCCUUACACAUGCAAGUCGAACGGUAACAGGUCUUCGGAUGCUGACGAGUGGCGAACGGGUGAGUAAUACAUCGGAACGUGCCCAGACGUGGGGGAUAACGAGGCGAAAGCUUUGCUAAUACCGCAUACGAUCUAAGGAUGAAAGCAGGGGACCGCAAGGCCUUGCGCGUUCGGAGCGGCCGAUGGCAGAUUAGUUAGUUGGUGGGAUAAAAGCUUACCAAGCCGACGAUCUGUAGCUGGUCUGAGAGGACGACCAGCCACACUGGGACUGAGACACGGCCCAGACUCCUACGGGAGGCAGCAGUGGGGAAUUUUGGACAAAGGGCGAAAGCCUGAUCCAGCAAUGCCGCGUGCAGGAUGAAGGCCUUCGGGUUGUAAACUGCUUUUGUACGGAACGAAAAGGCUCUGGCUAAUACCUGGGGCGCAUGACGGUACCGUAAGAAUAAGCACCGGCUAACUACGUG